ACGUCCUACGGGAGGCAGCAGUGAGGAAGAUUGGUCAAUGGGCGAGAGCCUGAACCAGCCAAGUCGCGUGAGGGAAGACGGUCGUAUGGAUUGUAAACCUCUUUUGCCGGGGAGCAAAAAGCGGUACGUGUACCGCAUCGAGAGUACCCGGAGAAAAAGCAUGGGCUAACUCCGUGCCAGCAGCCGCGGUAAUACGGAGGAUGCGAGCGUUAUCCGGAUUUAUUGGGUUUAAAGGGUGCGCAGGCGGCGAGUUAAGUCAGCGGUAAAAUUUCGGGGCUCGACCCCGACGAG
This 291-nucleotide ribosomal RNA is filed under the name uncultured bacterium. RNAcentral's name for it is "partial 16S ribosomal RNA". It matches the Rfam family "Bacterial small subunit ribosomal RNA", at positions 335 to 622 of the family's 1533-position model. The record is from RNAcentral.